GCAACUCGCCUGCAUGAAGUCGGAAUUGCUAGUAAUCGUAGGUCAGCAUACUACGGUGAAUACGUUCCCGGGCCUUGUACACACCGCCCGUCAAACCAUGAGAGUUGGCAACACCCGAAGUCAGUAGUCCAACCUCGUGAGGACGCUGCCGAAGGUAGGAUUGGCGACUGGGGUGAAGUCGUAACAAGGUAGC
RNAcentral lists this ribosomal RNA (193 nucleotides) under uncultured bacterium. Its description in RNAcentral is "partial 16S ribosomal RNA". It matches the Rfam family "Bacterial small subunit ribosomal RNA", at positions 1307 to 1500 of the family's 1533-position model. The record is from RNAcentral.